UCAAAUGAUGUCUUGCUGAUG
This 21-nucleotide microRNA is filed under the name Hyalella azteca. RNAcentral's name for it is "miR-1681". The record is from RNAcentral. Lineage: Eukaryota; Metazoa; Arthropoda; Malacostraca; Amphipoda; Hyalellidae.